GGACCCGCACAAGUAGUGGAGCAUGUGGUUUAAUUCGAAGAUACGCGCAGAACCUUACCAACACUUGACAUGUUCGUCGCGACUCUGAGAGAUUAGAGUUUUCGGUUCGGCCGGACGAAACACAGGUGCUGCAUGGCUGUCGUCAGCUCGUGUCGUGAGAUGUUGGGUUAAGUCCCGCAACGAGCGCAACCCUCACUUUUAGUUGCCAUCAUUAAGUUGGGCACUCUGAAAGAACUGCCAGUGAUAAGCUGGAGGAAGGUGGGGAUGACGUCAAGUCCUCAUGGCCCUUACGUGUUGGGCUACACACGUGCUACAAUGGUAUCUACAACAGGAAGCAAAACGGCGACGUUAAGCAAAUCCUCAAAAGAUACCUCAGUUCGGAUUGCACUCUGCAACUCGAGUGCAUGAAGCUGGAAUUACUAGUAAUCG
This 429-nucleotide ribosomal RNA is filed under the name uncultured bacterium. Its description in RNAcentral is "bacterial SSU rRNA". It matches the Rfam family "Bacterial small subunit ribosomal RNA", at positions 917 to 1344 of the family's 1533-position model. The record is from RNAcentral.